UGUCCCCCUUUCAGCUGUGAAACAGCACUAAUCUCACCUAAGCAAACUCACAAACCAAGCAAGUUCAGACACUGUCAUCCAGAAGUCCCCCUGUACUAAAAUUAGGAAACCAUAAGUGGCUGCCUGUUCUUAUCCGAGGGUGUGACCAAGCAACUCCCCAGCCAAUCAGAGCCAAAUUAAUUCUGCAGGCAUGAAGCAACUGAACUUGUUUAUCACUUUGACAUCUGGCACCAGAGCAAAAACUUGCAAAUCUUAAACUGCCUUCACACAAGGAACUUGUGACACAGACAGCUGCAGCCUCACAGCCCACAGGCUGGGACUACCUACUCUCCCUACAAAGGGUACGGAGCCUGGAUUGGAAGAGAACACAGUAGAAGGGCCAUGUUGGGUUUUCAACGUGCAUUCAGGUUGCUUAAUGCAACAGUGAGGAAGCAGAUUGUUCCCAGAGCAAAUAUUGUUUCUGGACCACCAGAGGAGAUUGUCACUCCAGCUGAUCAAGCCAUUGCGCUGAUUGUGAUGUUUGCAACCGUCCUGAUCCCAUCGGGCUGGGUUCUGGCACACAUGGAGGACUACAAGCACAAGCCUAGUGAGUGAGAGACAGGAAGAAGCUGCAUCCAGCCUAGUUUAGGAGAAUGGGAAGAGGAGACUAUUGAACAAACCCCUUCAUGGCAAUCUGACUUUUGAGGAUUUUAUAAUUAAAACACCAUGAAAAAACA
This is a long non-coding RNA of Chelonia mydas (Green sea turtle), 716 nucleotides long. RefSeq lists it as uncharacterized. The transcript has 2 exons. The record is from RefSeq and is a predicted model, not a curated record. NCBI's taxonomy places the organism in Eukaryota, Metazoa, Chordata, Testudines, Cheloniidae.